CCUGGUUUGGCUCAGCAUUUUUCAAAAUUGCUUUGGGCAGGAAACACGUGUCGUCUCCUGGUUGGCUGGUGACCUUGGGUAGUGGGAGCGUUACAUGAUCUGGGUCGUUGGUCGUGGUGGCCACCAACGAUAAAGAUGCGUUGACGGUUUCGAAAAUUUUACUAUAAAUAAGGGUUCGCAGCGCUAUCAUUUUCAUCUCUUGCUUCCCUCUCUUUCUUUCGUUCGGCUUGGUACUCUAUCAAGUAAUAAACGACCACCCUUUCACUGUCUUCUUCUAAUGGGUCUACAGGUAGAGACGGCGGGGCUUUGUCCGGCGGUAGCAGGGCGUUAAGCUUAGUGUCUUC
This 344-nucleotide long non-coding RNA is filed under the name Vigna radiata. RNAcentral's name for it is "long non-coding RNA (VRAD_LNC002948)". Lineage: Eukaryota; Viridiplantae; Streptophyta; Magnoliopsida; Fabales; Fabaceae. The record is from RNAcentral.